This is a non-coding RNA of Saimiri boliviensis boliviensis (Bolivian squirrel monkey), 2418 nucleotides long. Lineage: Eukaryota; Metazoa; Chordata; Mammalia; Primates; Cebidae. The record is from RefSeq and is a predicted model, not a curated record.
GCAGGCAGGCAUUUGCUUAGAGCAGGCUGUGUGCUAGCCCAGCAUCAAGUGAUUCCGGCCUCCUGGAGUCAGCGGUGGUGGGAUGAGGCUCUGCCGAGGGGACUGGCUGUGAAGGAUGAGUUCAGGGUGGGAUGACGGACCGCUUCUGGGACCAGUGGUAUCUCUGGUAUCUCCGCUUGCUCCGGCUGCUGGAUCGAGGUUAGAAGACAGGUCCCAGUCUGCCUAAUGAGGCACUGAAAGUCUAGGUGGAAUAGAUGUUUGCUGGAGCCUGUGGAGAUUAUAAAACAGAGCUCACUGCCUUAUGUGGUCAGGAGAGGCAGGAGUGACAGCCAGUGUGAAGGUGUGGGAGUUGGAAGGAGCUUGGAACUCAACUUCUUUUGGCCUCUCAACUUGAGAUUCACAAAGAAAAAAAGCGAUGUCUCCUCGCCGAAAACAAAAUGGAAGCUCCUCCUUGCACAGUGCGCCCCUUCCUCACUGUAGUUUAUUCCAAGUGAGAAGAGUAAACAUGACUUCCAAAUGCCAUCUAAUGAUAUAUGCAUAUCUAAAGGAGACAAGGAUGACUGAAUGCAUCUUCAUGUGUAGGAAGUGAAGUGUCUGUUGACAUUAAAUACUUCUUCAUGAGAGAGAGGAGGCCCAUGACGGAGAUGAUACCAGUAUCUCCUUCUAGCACUCUAAAUUCCCAGUGUUUACUACUGCUGUCUCUGAAACUGCAGCAUCCUCACCAGGACCACACAGGGAACAAAUGCAAGACACCUGAAGUCCCUUUAGCUGUAUUCACAACACUUCGUAGAUAAGAUGAAAUUAGAAUAUGAGAAGGAUUUUUUAUUUUUUAUUUUUAUUUUUUUUAAAGAGCACUCUGUUCUCCUGGUAUCCUAGUAUGAGUGCCUGAAAGUGCACAUUGACUGGAAAGUUUCAUAUGAGCAUCAUUCCUGGGGUCCAGAAGACACUCUUGGCAAGCCUGGAGAGUGAAGUUGUUGAACAGGCAAUGGAAGCAUCCAUGAAAGGCAGACAGCUGCUGCAAGAGUUUCCAACAGAUAACUGGUCACUUGCACAGAGGGAAGGAACCAUGGAUUCCACGACAACGACACUUGUGCCAGCUUUUGUGUUUCCAGAAGUAUUGAAAAUGUAAGGGAACCACCAAGUGUAGAGUAUGUGAAGUCUGACAGAGACGAGUUCCUAAGGUGUUUGUUUUGACAAAUCACAUUGCAAGUAAUGUGAAAGCAGUUUGGAUUAAAAAUGUCCCCAUCUAAUGCCACAUUAGGGCAUGCAUUUCUAUAGCCUAAAUCUGUUGGUGACAUAAAAAUAUAUGUUUUAUUGGACACGUAAUAGUUUGAACACAUAAUAGGUUCUAGAAUGGAUCUGCAUAAAGUGAGAAGAAAGGAUAUAAAGGUAGAAGAAUAAAUGCAUAAAUGUUACAACAGAACACUGAGCUGGGCGGCUCUUCACCAUGGACCUUGCUCGUAUUUCUCACUACAGGCUUUCUCUGAGCUAACUUCCAAGUUCUUUCUUUCUCCUUCCAAACUUACCUGUAUGUAAUCUUGCUCCCAGGCCACCUGACUGAUUUUUGAUACUUGGAGAUUUGCUUCCACCUCGGCAUGACCAAGCCUUAGCCAAGUCACCGUUUACUCAGUUACAACAUCUGUCCCCUGCAGAGGGCUGUCAUAGCUUUCAUAGCUCACAAACAGUCCAGCUUGAAUCCAACCUUCUCUUUGGUCAUUCGGAGUAGCAAGAAGCAUUGUGUUUUGGAUUUACUGCAGAAUUCACACACUUAAAUGUACAGUCAGUUUUUAUAGCUCUCACUGCAUCCAGAUUGGGCAGUGACCUUGACUGAGACAUCCUUUACUUCUGUUUCAGAUCAAUUUAGCCAGCAUAUAAAAUCUCUGUGCACUGCCAGGGGAAAGUAAAGUGAAAGACUUCAUGAAGAAAUGGAGACGAGCCAAAUAGUUGACCAUGGUUGCUGUAUAAAUCUCGGACCCAGGGCUAAAAGGUGGCAAUAUAAAUGCAGAUGGUGCUGCUGCCAUAUUUUCCUGGCACACCUUUAAGCAGCACAUUUCAAGUCUGCAGGGUUGGAAUGGCAUUUCCAAAUAUAGACUCAAAAAAUCCUCAGGUGUUUGAUUCUAGAAUAGAGCUGGAAAUUCUGUCUUGCAAAUGCCUUCUGCAGCAUGGGAGAAAACCCACUCUUUUGUGUCUCUUGCUUUAAACUCUCUAUUUUCUGGAAACUAGAGAAAGAUGUGGGCCUGUAUUGAAAGACAUGCCUUGAACAAGAAUUAUGGACCUAUUGAAAACUUGUACAUUGAGUAAACUCUCUGUUUACAGGAAUCUAUGGAAAUAUCAAAACAUCGGAAGUGGCAGUAACUAUAGAGGUCAUUAACUAAGGAGAUAACCUGAAAAAUAAAGCUAUAUUUGCUAAAAUCUGUA